RNAcentral lists this long non-coding RNA (609 nucleotides) under Mytilus galloprovincialis (Mediterranean mussel). The record is from RNAcentral. Lineage: Eukaryota; Metazoa; Mollusca; Bivalvia; Mytilida; Mytilidae.
UUAUCUUGAAAAUUAUUAUAGAUAGAAAUAAACUGUAAACAGCAAUAAUGUUCAGCAAAGUAAGAUUUACAAAUAAGUCAACAUGACCGAAAUGGUCAAUUGACCCCCUAAGGAGUUAUUGUCCUUUAUAGUCAAUUUUCAACAAUUUUUAUAAAAUUUGUAAAUUUUUACUAACAUUUUCCACUGAAACUACUGGGCCAAGUUCAUUAUAGAUAGAGAUAAUUGUAAGCUGCAAGGAUGUUCAGUAAAGUAAAAUGUACAAACACAUCACCAUCACCAAAAUACAAUUUUGUCAUGAAUCCAUCUGCUUCCUUUGUUUAAUAGUCACAUAGACCAAGGUGAGCGACACAGGCUCUUUAGAGCCUCUAGUUUUGUGUUUACAAGAAGAAAUGAUAGGUGUUGAUUCACUUGUAGCAGGUGUAUUCAAACAGUCGAAAAUAUUAACGGAACAUGGCUUUAAUUUAUGAAAAGUAUCUGAAUUUUUAAAGUAGUAAUUACCUUCUGGCUGAACGUACGUCAAAUCAGGGGUAUCCCGGAGGAUAUUCCGUGGAACACACAAAUCAAAUGCUACAGUGUUCCGUGUAGCAAAAGGGGACCUUGGUAACCCGG